RNAcentral lists this ribosomal RNA (452 nucleotides) under uncultured bacterium. RNAcentral's name for it is "partial 16S ribosomal RNA". It matches the Rfam family "Bacterial small subunit ribosomal RNA", at positions 29 to 523 of the family's 1533-position model. The record is from RNAcentral.
AACGAACGCUGGCGGCAGGCUUAACACAUGCAAGUCGAACGGGUGCAGCAAUGCAUCAGUGGCAGACGGGUGAGUAACACGUGGGAACCUUCCUAGGGGUACGGAACAACUCAGGGAAACUUGAGCUAAUACCGUAUACGUCCGUGAGGAGAAAGAUGUUAUCGCCCUUAGACGGGCCCGCGUCGGAUUAGCUAGUUGGUGGGGUAACGGCCUACCAAGGCGACGAUCCGUAGCUGAUCUUAGAGGAUGAUCAGCCACACUGGGACUGGGACACGGCCCAGACUCCUACGGGAGGCAGCAGUGGGGAAUCUUGGACAAUGGGCGCAAGCCUGAUCCAGCCAUGCCGCGUGAGUGAAGAAGGUCUUCGGAUUGUAAAGCUCUUUUGCCAGGGACGAUAAUGACGGUACCUGGAGAAUAAGCCCCGGCAAACUUCGUGCCAGCAGCCGCAGUAA